This 441-nucleotide ribosomal RNA is filed under the name uncultured bacterium. RNAcentral's name for it is "partial 16S ribosomal RNA". It matches the Rfam family "Bacterial small subunit ribosomal RNA", at positions 338 to 795 of the family's 1533-position model. The record is from RNAcentral.
CCUACGGGAGGCAGCAGUGGGGAAUAUUGCACAAUGGGGGAAACCCUGAUGCAGCAACGCCGCGUGAAGGAAGACGGUUUUCGGAUUGUAAACUUCUGUUCUUAGUGAAGAAGAAUGACGGUAGCGAAGGAGCAAGCCACGGCUAACUACGUGCCAGCAGCCGCGGUAAUACGGAGGUGGCAAGCGUUGUCCGGAAUUACUGGGUGUAAAGGGAGCGCAGGCGGGAAGCCAAGUCAGCGGUGAAAACUACGGGCUUAACUUGUAGACUGCAGUUGAAACGGGUUUUCUUGAGUGAAGUAGAGGUUGGCGGAAUUCCGAGUGUAGCGGUGCAAUGCGUAGAUAUUCGGAGGAACACCGGUGGCGAAGGCGGCCAACUUGGCUUUACCUGACGCUGAGGCUCGAAAGUGUGGGGAGCAAACAGGAUUAGAUACCCCAGUAGUC